GCUGUGAUGGCCGAGUGGUUAAGGCGUUGGACUUGAAAUCCAAUGGGAUCUUCCCGCGCAAGUUCGAACCCUGCUGGCAGCG
RNAcentral lists this transfer RNA (82 nucleotides) under Dreissena polymorpha. RNAcentral describes it as "transfer RNA serine (anticodon UGA)". It matches the Rfam family "tRNA". From Rfam's summary of the family: Transfer RNA (tRNA) molecules are approximately 80 nucleotides in length. Their secondary structure includes four short double-helical elements and three loops (D, anti-codon, and T loops). The record is from Rfam by way of RNAcentral. Lineage: Eukaryota; Metazoa; Mollusca; Bivalvia; Myida; Dreissenidae.